This is a long non-coding RNA of Acanthochromis polyacanthus (spiny chromis), 1581 nucleotides long. RefSeq lists it as uncharacterized. The transcript is spliced from 2 exons. The record is from RefSeq and is a predicted model, not a curated record. NCBI's taxonomy places the organism in Eukaryota, Metazoa, Chordata, Actinopteri, Pomacentridae.
CCAUGCAGCCCGACGGAAAGCUCCAUUUAUCAGCCCAAAUUCGCCAAUUUAGGACGCGGAGAAACCUUGUGUGGAUGGCUCGCAAUCUCCAUUCAGGCAUCCGCUGCCCGGUUGAGGAUGAUCCGCCUGAUAUAAGAGCUCCAAACCCGGGCGCAAUUGGCUACAGUGUUACCAGGCUCCGCGAUUUUCUGUCAUUCUGGAGGAAAAUAAUACUACUAAUGAUAAUAAAGAAAAAUGUAUCAGGAUGUAGAGGCUGUCAGAUUGUGGAGGUACCACCUCUGGAGAAUGCAAUCGCUUGAGAGAGACACACAGAGGAGGAAAAAAAUCUAAAAAAAAAAAAAAAAGAAAGAGGAAAAAAGACCGCUCCGUUGUCCACAAGUUUCGGAUCUGGAAUCGGGGAUUAUUUCACGUUGACGAGAGCGGAGCUAAGGCAGGAUCGAGCUACAUAAUGCUGAUUUAAUGUUUGUCUUUUCUCUGCCUUUUCUGGCGUUUGCCCUUCCAAUUCUUCAGCACUGCUUGACAGCGGCACAUCCAAUAAAAGCACCCGCAAGGAUUGACCUACAGCCUUUACUGACGUUAAUGCAAAUGAGCAGCGAGCAGCUAAUCGGAGCCGCGCUCGGCGCCGCUGGGUGGUCCUCCGCUUUCCGUGGGAACUUUGAAACCCGGAAAAGAGCCUCUGCGGACAGACACGGAGCUGGAUGCAGGUUUUCAAGUGGUGAUUGAGCAGGCUAAGGCAUGGUUCCAGUGUUCUGGUUCUCCAUCCAGGCUUUAACUGAUCUUGCCGUGUGGUAAGGGACAUCGUCUUGUUGGAAAGUCCAGUCAUUGGAGGUGUCAAAGAGUUUUCCAGCUGAUGGAAGAAGACUGUUUUCAAGAGUAGCCCUGUACAUGACCUGGUUCAUUGGCCAUGUUCCACCCAGACUGGAACAACCCCAGACUCUACAUCUCCAUACAUGCAAGGAUUUUCUAAUCUAUUAUCCAAACAUGCCGCUGACUUUACUGUGAACAGAAAGUAGCUAAGAAUAUUUCCUCCAACCUGCUGCUUACGUAAACUUUGAGUUUUAUGUGGGUAUGUUAAUAUGCCCCUUUAUGCUUUUAUUCAGAGUGAAAUACUGUUUGGUAGUCUGCUGCAGUUAUUUGACAGUUAGUCUAAUCAGAUAACAUUUAUAAAUCACAAGAUAAGCUUAUGAUAUAAAAUGUUGUAUAUAAACCAGUGGUUCAGAUCACAUGGAUUCUAUCAAACAGGGCUGUCAGCUGUGUACCAAUCUGACUUCUGCACAACACAACUGAUGUCCCAACCCCAUUAAGAAGGCAACAAAUUCCACACAUCAACUUUGACGAGGCACACCUGUGAAGUGAAAACAUUUCAGGUAACGAACUCAAGAACCUCAUGGAGAGAUGCCAAGAGCGUGCAAAGCAGUAACCAAAGCAAAGGGUGGCUGCUUUGAAGAAUCUAAACUCUAAAAGAUGUUUUGACUCAUUUCACACAUUUUUGUUGAAUUCCAUGUGUUCAUUCAUGGUUCUGAUGCCUUCAGUGAGAAUCUGCAAUGUAAAUAAUCCAUUAAAUGAGAAUGUUUGUCCAAA